Molecule: ribosomal RNA, 409 nt
Filed under: bacterium
Lineage: Bacteria
Description: partial 16S ribosomal RNA
Rfam family: Bacterial small subunit ribosomal RNA
Source: RNAcentral
UGGGGAAUAUUGCACAAUGGGCGAAAGCCUGAUGCAGCGACGCCGCGUGAGGGAUGACGGCCUUCGGGUUGUAAACCUCUUUCAGUAGGGACGAAGCGCAAGUGACGGUACCUACAGAAGAAGCACCGGCCAACUACGUGCCAGCAGCCGCGGUAAUACGUAGGGUGCGAGCGUUGUCCGGAUUCACUGGGCGUAAAGAGCUCGUAGGCGGUUUGUCACGUCGUCUGUGAAAACCCGAGGCUUGACCUCGGGCCUGCAGGCGAUACGGGCAGACUUGAGUACUGUAGGGGAGACUGGAAUUCCUGGUGUAGCGGUGGAAUGCGCAGAUAUCAGGAGGAACACCGGUUGCGAAGGCGGGUCUCUGGGCAGUAACUGACGCUGAGGAGCGAAAGCGUGGGUAGCGAACAGG